AAAAAAAGCCUAUUCACAGGAGGUGGUAACAUCUGAUGUGCGGAUCACAAGAUUAAUGAGUCCGAGUCUGAUGCCCUCCCUACUGUCUUUACUUUGGGGCUGAAGAUCUCUUUCGACCAUCACUGUGUACCCAGUAGGCAGUGCCACGCCUGCACAUGCUAAGCACACAGUACAUCGAGGAGAGACAGAAAACCAACACAGAGACAGACGUAGAGGUAUUUUAAGGUCGUAUCACCAGGAGGCAUCUGACUCUCUGUCCAGACCUAGGUCUCCAGAUUGGGAUGUUUGUACUCUUUCCAACAGACCCUGUAGUGAGUGAGGCUCAACGCUAAACAACUAGCUACAGGUGUAGGUGAAUCUACUCCUUAAAAAGAGAAACCGGCAGAGUCUUGAUAACCCAGUGCAUCACUGCAAUAAUGUAGAAUGUCUUCUAGCUCAACAAAAAUCUAUACAACUGAGUUGUAUACAAUAGAGUUGGUCAGGGUAAUGGGUGUUGCUUUGGGCAAUGGCCAACGUGAUUGGGUUGGGGCGGCCACAUUCUGAUUCGUGGUAGAUAAAUAGACAAUGCACCGAGGACAACUGAAAUAUGUCGACGACAAGAAAUGCUUGCCUUCUCUGGGCGUCAGUGAUGCCCUAGUAUGGAAGCAUUCAUGGCAAAGGGCAGAAACCUGCCUGACAGACUGAUGGGUUGUCCACCCAGAGCAACACGAACAUGGCCUUAGGUAGGAUGAACAAGGUGUCCCACACUCGCCUGGGGAGCAUCCCCACUGGAGCAUGACACUGUGCAAAACCGGGGGUGGGUGAUCAGAAGGUGUGGUAUGCCCGAUGUGUAUAUGUAGCAGGAUGUUUCUUCAGACGCGGCCAGACACAGAAAACUUAAUGCACUUGCUGAACGCUUCCAGACUGGGAUGAAUCCACAGCCUGGAGGCAAGUUUUCAGCUCAUUCUCCUCUGUUCCUGGCAUCCACAGACGGCAUGCUCUCAACAGCUGGUGACAGCGUCCAUCAGGAAUGAUCAGGAUUCACAUUCUCUGCUGCCAACGAGCUUCUCCAAGCUCUGGUUAGGAGUCUUAGCUCAGUCCUCUUUUCAGGUGUCUCCUUAUCUUUCAGCUCACUCCAACCCAACUCCCCCCAGAGCAGUGGAUUUAAAUGGAUCCAUGCUAGGGCCCUUCUUUCUUUAAAAAUAUGUUCUUAUUCCCAGCCCACUGGAAGUCCAUUCUUAUUUGGUUUGUUAUUCUGUUGAGCAUGGAUUAGCAAGAAUCCUUGCCUGCACAAUGCUGGUCUCCCGUGGACACGGACACCUCUUCCUCAAGAGUCAUCUUCCUUGAAGGGCUUCAGCAUCCACCCCUCCUCCAGCCCCCAGAAACGAGAGCCUAUUGUUGUAAAACUCCCUCUUUUGACGUCUUUCAAGAAUUCCAUCAUUUUUUUUCAUCUACACAAAUAUGUGGACUCAUUCACUGUGCAUUUCUCUCCAUGUUAUUU
Long non-coding RNA from Hyaena hyaena (striped hyena), 1480 nucleotides. RefSeq lists it as uncharacterized. The transcript has 3 exons. NCBI's taxonomy places the organism in Eukaryota, Metazoa, Chordata, Mammalia, Carnivora, Hyaenidae. The record is from RefSeq and is a predicted model, not a curated record.